CAUUAUCGUACAACCGAGGUGCAAAGGCUGUCGCUGACCCUCAAAGGUCGUGCACGCCCGAGCGCUCUCACACAAUCCAUCUCACCUUUGUGCAUCACCGCGUGGGUCCCCCUUUUGCGGGGAGGGCUUGCGUUUUCACAUAAAACUUGAUACAGUGUAGAAUGUUUCUUUUUGCGGUCACACGCAAUCAAUACAACUUUCAACAACGGAUCUCUUGGCUCUCGCAUCGAUGAAGAACGCAGCGAAAUGCGAUACGUAAUGUGAAUUGCAGAAUUCAGUGAAUCAUCGAAUCUUUGAACGCACCUUGCGCCCCUUGGCAUUCCGAGGGGCACACCCGUUUGAGUGUCGUGAAAUCUUCAAAAUCCUUUUUUCUUUGAGGGGUUUUGGACUUGGAGGUUUAAUGCUCGCCCUUUCUUUCGAAAGUGAGCUCCUCUCAAAUGAAUCAGUGGGGUCCGCUUUGCUGAUCCUUGACGUGAUAAAAUGUUUCUACGUUUUGGGUUUAGCUCUGUUCCUUGGACGCCUGCUCCUAACUGUCUCAUUGACAAUGAUGGUGCUCUGGUCACCGCCGGUCUACAUCGGCGGGAGGCUGGACCCACAGAAAGAAAACCUUGGACCUCAAAUCGGGUGAGACUACCCGCUGAACUUAAGCAUAUCAUAA
This 658-nucleotide ribosomal RNA is filed under the name Russula sp. LM1553. Its description in RNAcentral is "eukaryotic LSU rRNA". The stretch from base 195 to 348 matches the Rfam family "5.8S ribosomal RNA". The record is from RNAcentral. Lineage: Eukaryota; Fungi; Basidiomycota; Agaricomycetes; Russulales; Russulaceae.